This 1103-nucleotide long non-coding RNA is filed under the name Gallus gallus (chicken). RNAcentral describes it as "lncRNA (ENSGALG00010002841.1)". The record is from RNAcentral. Lineage: Eukaryota; Metazoa; Chordata; Aves; Galliformes; Phasianidae.
CUCCCUUCUGAACCUCUUGUAAAGCAUCCUGCCAAUUUCUGCUCAUCUCUUUAAAAGCACACGGGGCCCGUGACACAGUACAAAUGGAUUUAGCUUCUGCUGCGGUUGACUAGCAAACUCACCAUUAAUUAUUGAUUUGGCCUGUCAAGCUCUAACAUCAAUUACUGCAACCAAGGCACACAGGUCUUUGGAGUUAAAAACAUUCAUAACCUUUGCAGGGGAAAGGCUUACUUUUUUGGCUCCAGAAUACUGUUUUUCUUGUACAACACAUCAUGACUCCUGUACAUACAAUCUCCACUUGCAUGCGGCUGUCUCCCAGCUCAGCCUCAAUGUGCUGUGAGGAUAAGAGGCUGCCACAGGUUGAACCAUGGGAGUUAAGGCACUUGACACAACUUACAUACACAAUGACGGGCAGAUGAACGAAGCUGGGAUCUCUGAUACUGCUGAGCUGCAGCACUACCAGAAGGUCAAGGAACUGUGUCCAGCCAUUCCUGCAUCAGGGUUUCAGGCACCUGUUAUCACCACCACCCUGUUUGCUUCACUUGUGUACCUGUGCAGCACAGAGGGAAAGCACUCAACCCAGAUCCAGGAAAAGAAUCCGAAAUGGGACAUGAAUACUGGAAUUAGUAAUUUGUCCAAGAGUGAAACAUAAAAGAAAUUUCUCUUAAGAAAUCAUCUUAAAGAUGGUAGAUAAUAGACUCUAUUUCACUGUACUUUACCGGAGAACAUUUUGCACCACGAACACAGGAGCUCUCCAGGUAGCUGAAGAAGCCUUUGAUUUUGAUCUUUGUUUCCCAGUCCUUAUGAAGUGGCGAUAGAAAUGGAGAUGAGGCAGAGAUGAUAGUUGUUGGCAUUCUGCACUGGCGCCUGGGAAGGGGAAAAAGCAAAUUUUUUGCAUGUUUAACUGAGCUUACUUCACUAGGGAUGCUGCUGGCCUCGUAAGGCUAUUGUCUUGGUACAAUAUGUUUUUGUACUUUUAUGAAUGGGCUAUUUAUGUAGAUUCUAUGGAAGAUCUUCAUUUGCUGAAAGACAAUGGAGAGAGAUGAGGAUCUCUUCCACAGGGCUACAGAUGUGAAACUGGAGGGUCCCAUGAGUAUUUCAGA